CGGCGGACGGGUGAGUAACGCGUGGGUAACCUACCUCAUACAGGGGGAUAAUAGUUGGAAACGGCUGCUAAUACCGCAUAAGCGCACAGUACCGCAUGGUACGGUGUGAAAAACUCCGGUGGUAUGAGAUGGACCCGCGUCUGAUUAGGUAGUUGGUGGGGUAACGGCCUACCAAGCCGACGAUCAGUAGCCGACCUGAGAGGGUGACCGGCCACAUUGGGACUGAGACACGGCCCAA
Molecule: ribosomal RNA, 238 nt
Filed under: uncultured bacterium
Lineage: Bacteria
Description: partial 16S ribosomal RNA
Rfam family: Bacterial small subunit ribosomal RNA
Source: RNAcentral